RNAcentral lists this transfer RNA (72 nucleotides) under Camelus bactrianus (Bactrian camel). It matches the Rfam family "tRNA". Rfam says of the family: Transfer RNA (tRNA) molecules are approximately 80 nucleotides in length. Their secondary structure includes four short double-helical elements and three loops (D, anti-codon, and T loops). Further hydrogen bonds mediate the characteristic L-shaped molecular structure. tRNAs have two regions of fundamental functional importance: the anti-codon, which is responsible for specific mRNA codon recognition, and the 3' end, to which the tRNAs corresponding amino acid is attached (by aminoacyl-tRNA synthetases). tRNAs cope with the degeneracy of the genetic code in two manners: having more than one tRNA (with a specific anti-codon) for a particular amino acid; and 'wobble' base-pairing, i.e. permitting non-standard base-pairing at the 3rd anti-codon position. RNAcentral also lists the same sequence under 3 other names. Lineage: Eukaryota; Metazoa; Chordata; Mammalia; Artiodactyla; Camelidae. The record is from Rfam by way of RNAcentral.
GGGAGCAUAGCUCAGUGGUAGAGUGCGUGCUUAGCAUGCACAAGGUCCUGAGUUCAACCCCUAGUACCUCCA